AGCCUGAUCAGCCAUGCCGCGUGUGUGAAGAAGGCCUUUUGGUUGUAAAGCACUUUAAGCGAGGAGGAGGCUACCUAGAUUAAUACUCUGGGAUAGUGGACGUUACUCGCAGAAUAAGCACCGGCUAACUCUGUGCCAGCAGCCGCGGUAAUACAGAGGGUGCGAGCGUUAAUCGGAUUUACUGGGCGUAAAGCGUGCGUAGGCGGCUUUUUAAGUCGGAUGUGAAAUCCCCGAGCUUAACUUGGGAAUUGCAUUCGAUACUGGGAAGCUAGAGUAUGGGAGAGGAUGGUAGAAUUCCAGGUGUAGCGGUGAAAUGCGUAGAGAUCUGGAGGAAUACCGAUGGCGAAGGCAGCCAUCUGGCCUAAUACUGACGCUGAGGUACGAAAGCAUGGGGAGCAAACAGGAUUAGAUACCCUGGUAGUCCAUGCCGUAAACGAUGUCUACUAGCCGUUGGGGCCUUUGAGGCUUUAGUGGCGCAGCUAACGCGAUAAGUAGACCGCCUGGGGAGUACGGUCGCAAGACUAAAACUCAAAUGAAUUGACGGGGGCCCGCACAAGCGGUGGAGCAUGUGGUUUAAUUCGAUGCAACGCGAAGAACCUUACCUGGCCUUGACAUACUAGAAACUUUCCAGAGAUGGAUUGGUGCCUUCGGGAAUCUAGAUACAGGUGCUGCAUGGCUGUCGUCAGCUCGUGUCGUGAGAUGUUGGGUUAAGUCCCGCAACGAGCGCAACCCUUUUCCUUACUUGCCAGCAUUUCGGAUGGGAACUUUAAGGAUACUGCCAGUGACAAACUGGAGGAAGGCGGGGACGACGUCAAGUCAUCAUGGCCCUUACGGCCAGG
This 839-nucleotide ribosomal RNA is filed under the name uncultured bacterium. RNAcentral's name for it is "bacterial SSU rRNA". It matches the Rfam family "Bacterial small subunit ribosomal RNA", at positions 380 to 1212 of the family's 1533-position model. The record is from RNAcentral.